Molecule: long non-coding RNA, 4371 nt
Filed under: Homo sapiens (human)
Lineage: Eukaryota; Metazoa; Chordata; Mammalia; Primates; Hominidae
Description: HSALNT0370681
Source: RNAcentral
ACUUGCUAAUGGCUUUAAAGGAGAGGAAGAUUUGUUUUUUUCUGCUUUAUGUCUUCAGGUAGAUUAGGUUUCAGAGUAUUUUCCCAAUUAUAGGAGAACCAGACUGGAGCGCUCUCUGGGUUCACAAUUUCUUUCCAUGGCUGUGUAUACGCUUCAUGCAUCCCUUCUCCUGACUCCCAACUUUGGGGACUCUGUGUCUCCUUCACCCUAACCCUGUAACCCUGUAAGCCUAGUGGGGCUGCCCAUGUUGUCACUCCACCACUCCUGCCAGGCUUUUCAUGGUCCUUUACUAGAUUAGGUAUGCAACUUUGGUUAUGGAUCACUUGAUAAACAUGGUAAGAUGCAGAUUCCCAGGCCAAACCACUAAAAAUUCUGAAUCAGUAUGGUAAACUUGGAGAGGAGCUGGAAUAUAUGCACAUGUAAUUCACAUCCAAGAUGGUCUUUGAGAAACACUUUGGGAAACAUGGUCCUAGGAUCUUGAAGCUAAUGGUGCAUGAGCCUAGAGCACCUAUGGCCACUAGGCCACUUUCUCAUUGCCUGGAGAAAGUCAGAGUUCAGGAAGACACAAGAAGGCAGCAUGCAGAGAGAAGCAGAGUGAAGAAGUAAAGGAAAAAAGAGAAUAGAAUUUGAGUUCCUAGACACAGUGGUCUGUGAGGACAGCUCCACCCCUUUUCUUCCUGAGGCUUUAGUUGUAUAAAUCAGAGUGUUCUUUAUUUCUUUCUAAAUCUUGAACUUCUGUGACUUAAGAGGGCUACUCCGUAGAUAUGGGGAAGUACUGGUAUACCGGCAGGUAUAACUGGUUUAUUUGCAACAUAAAUCUUUCCGAAAAUAUAAUCCAUAAUAUUCUGUAAGUAGACCAAGUAUACUUAAUAAUACCAAGUAUAUCAUCAAGUAUAUAUUAAGUAUAUAACUUAGUAAUACCAAGUAUAUCAAGCACAGUGGCUGGGUUAUGCUGCAGUAAGAACCACCCUCCAAAUCUCAGUGGCUUAACAUGAGUUUCUUUCUUUCUCCUUUCUCAUACUACAUACACUACGCAUAUAGGCCGGAGGAUUUCUGCUCCAUGAAGUCUCUCAGAGAUCCAGGCUGAUACAGAGUUCAUCUUAACAAGUGCUUUCGUAGUCACCACAGCAGUGGGAAAUGAACAUGGAAAUCAUUGAUCAUGGCUCUUAAAGUUUCUGUUCCAAAGUGACACAGCUUGUUCCAUGUGAAGCAACCUUUCUGCUCAGAUAUUCCCUGGCCUGCAAUAGAAGCUCCAGUUUGGGCUUUGGAAACUCAAGUCUCAGGUAUGAAUUCGAAAAUCUCUUUUGACAGAGUUCUUCAGGGAGGCUCUUACAAUUGUGUAGCAUUGGCAGCACACACAAGAAAAUGGACCAAUCUACCAACCACAGACCAGGUGCAACCAUGGAUACCAGGACCAUAAAGUGCCUUUGUCUUGGGGUCACUUCGAGAAAACAUUGUAGAUCCAGGGGCUCUGAGCUGAAGAGGAAAAACCAUCAUAGUGUUCUGUUCACGAGUGCCCUGAAUUCCAUCCACAGAGCUAUUGGAUGUUUGGAGCCCAGGUGAAGAUCCCAGAGCUGGGGAACGAAAGGUUGGAAAAGCCCAGCCAGCUGUGCAAGCCUCCAGAGACACUCUCUUGACUGCGGUGAGGUGCCUGCCACAAAACCCCUAGCUCCCUGCUCUUCAACCUCUGGCUUUGGCGGCAGGUGAACCAGUUAGCCAUGCCAGGAGGCAGAAAGGGCAGAACGCAGAGCCUGCCUUUUGAAGCCUUUUGCUUCCUUUGAUGUGCAGAUUUUAUCAAGGUCCUUUCUGGAGUUGGGCAAAUCCCAGUUGCCUUCUUCAAAUCCUCCUUUUGAGAAUAUUUCCAGAGAAUCCCCAAACCGCUCUCCUAUGGUUUAUUUUAGGCUGCUUACUUGCUUGCAUUCAUUUAUUUACUUAUUUAUUUAUUUUGCAGAGGAAAGUGAUAGCCUGCUGGGCUGGACCUGGACUUUGAGACAGAACUUUCGAAUCCGAAGAAGAGAUGAUUUUCAGAUAGUCCUCCUUCCAGGUCAGGUUUAAGAAAAAUAGUGAAGGGAAAUAUUAAUAAACAUGAUCAAAAUAUUCAUGUGUAAUAAUUAAGCAAUUCAGCGCCUUGAACUUAACAGGUUUAAGUUGAAAUUCCUUAGUGGAUACGUGAUUUUAGAGAAGUGGAUUAAACUUUCUAAACUUCUCUUUACAUAUAAGGAAACCGAGGCAGGCUCAGAGAAGCUAAGUAGCUCUUUUGAGUCCACACAGCUAGUAAGGGGAUGCUGAGAGUAGAAUGCAGGUCCAUCUGACUAUAUGACUAUCUGGCUGAGGAAGGAAGAGAGGCUGCUGCUCUGCAGUACCCUACCAACAAGGACAAUAAUAACCAGAGCAACAGUAGCUACCCCUAAAGAAACACGGACUCCAUGCUAGGCACUAUAGCAGGCAUUUCAAUGAGUUUUCUUUCAUCCUCCCAAUGGCCCUGCGAGGUAGGGAUGAUUCCCCACUUUCCACUAAAGAGAAUCCUGAGAUCAGAGAGGUGAGAUGAUUUUUGCAAAGUCACACAGCCAUGGAUGGCAAAACCCAGGUCUGGCCGAGCCAGGAAACUUUCCUCAACCAUGUCCAGAAGUAAAGUUCCUGAGGCCUCUCUUGGAGAUAGGGAAUUAUGAUUUCCAAAGCAGAACUCCAAACAGUUCCACUCUGAAUGAGUUGACAGUGGCAAUUGGUCCCUUGAGAUAAAAGUCAACAAUGGCUAUGCUGAAGCUAUAGCAUUGAGGGAAGGGAUCUUGAACUUUGGAAUAGGCCAAAGAAGGAGGAGGCAAGGGAGGACCUGAAAUGCGCUGGAAGAAGGCAUUCAGCAACCUCAUAGCUUUCCAGCGCUUGCUAGGGCUGCAGGAAUGAAACGAGGCUGUGGCUUCUUUCCAAGCUGACCUGAAGGCUGCAAGAUGUGAUGGCUGUUGCCGGAGAUGUUCUUUGACACAGCUACCAGCAUUGCAGAAGCAUGACAAUAUCUCCAGCAUCACCUUCCUGAGUCCAAAACUCUGUAAAUUUGAACUCAGAGAGAGACACAAGAUCCCAGCAUGAUGCUCCUAUGGUACUGUGGGACCUGGAUUGGGACUUAGAAUCCCAUGCAAGGGUAUGAGUCUUGUCCAUUCUCCCAGCCUCCCUUGCAGCCCAGAGCUCACAUCUGCAGCCCAUCUGGCUAGGCUUAGGAGUGCAGUCCACGGUCAGGGAAAAGGAAGUCUCUCUGUGUGUAUUUCAGGCCUGGCCUGGACAGCCUAACACUCCUCCCAGGCCAAGAUCAGCGGAUAAAAUCAGUCCAAUGAGCUGCUUGUCAGAGAAGCUUCUGGCCUUGACUUUCAGAUUCCUGAGUCAUCUCUCCUUGGGCCUAUCCUCUGUUGGACUUCCUUGCAGGGGCCUUUGAUGAACAGAUGAGAUAAUAGAUAUGCUUUGAAAAAGAUAAAAUGCUGAACAAAGUGUUUUGCUGGCCACUGCAAUGAGUGCCAUGGAUUGGUUAAACCUUGAAUCUCCUUCCUGUCCAAGGGCAAAGACUUCUCCCAACCUCUGCAUCUCUAAGACAGCCAGUUUGUGUGGUGACAAGCACCCUGCACCCCCCAACCACUCAGGGUAAUAAACUCAGCAGCCAUUAGUAACAACAGUUAGAAGAUGGGCUUAUAUGUUAGGCACAUUUCAUCCACCAACCAAUGGAAUCAUCAAAACAAGCAUGAAAUAGGGGUAUGGAUUUUCCCACUCUAUGGACAAAAAACCCUGAUGCAUGGGGAAGUCAAAAAACAUGCCCAAGAUCUUACAGCUACUUGGUACAGAUUUAGGAUUUGGACCCAAGCCUACUCAUUCCAAUCUCCAACAAAACAUGAGGGAUUUAGCGAUGAUGUCCUCAGCUAGAAUAAAAUAUAACACAAUUGGAACAAGAAACAUGUGGUUUGACAAACAUGUCCCUGAUAGCUCUUCCAAAUUUGCAGAAAAUAUGACUUUUCCUCAUCACUGCAGCUGGAGAUCUUGGCGUGAGUUGUAUGAAGUGGAGGUUCCGCUGCAGGGAGAUGCGAGAUCAUAGCAUUAUUCUGUUGGCUGAGACCUUGAUGGUUAUUUAGGGCCAGCAAACCCUUCACAAUAGUCACGCCAAGAGCUGUCCAGCCAAUGCUUGGACACUUGCAGAGAUGAGGAACUUAUUCCUGCAAGGUGGUUUAGUCUAGUCCCAGAUAUCUCAUCAUUAUUUAUCACUCCUUUGGGCAAAUUGAUGACAGGAUGUAUUAAAAUUGAAAACGUGCUCUUCCUACUGUCCAGCAAGUACACCCUUACAGAGAUGCGGGAGGAGGGUAAAGAGGGUUUCACAGCUACACUGUAUUAGCAAAA